GUUGGUUGAAAAUCACCCUCGGCUUUGGCUGUGGUCAUGGAUAAGAUUCAGCACCCAGAACCACCAGGGCCUCAGCUCACCGCCCACUGCCUCAUGUGCAAGGGUAAAACCCAGGCCCCGACAGUC
RNAcentral lists this small nucleolar RNA (126 nucleotides) under Carlito syrichta (Philippine tarsier). Its description in RNAcentral is "Small nucleolar RNA ACA64 (ENSTSYG00000031057.1)". It matches the Rfam family "Small nucleolar RNA ACA64". The record is from Rfam by way of RNAcentral. Lineage: Eukaryota; Metazoa; Chordata; Mammalia; Primates; Tarsiidae.